AUCACAAUAUGCUAAUAUUUUGAGAAGGACCUGUACAGAAAUAUACAUUCAAAGCAUAUUACAUACAUUCUAAUUCAAUUCUGGUAGUAAACUAAUGCAGUUAAUUUCAGUUUUAUAUUCUAAUUAUUAAAAAUUUUUCUUUUGCUUACAGCAUUUUUCACACCUGCCUAAAACUUUUGCACAGUACUGUAAAUGGAAAUGAAAGAAACUUUUUGUUGAAGAUUUCCUGUUUUUUAUUCAUCCGUGUUGCAUAAUCUGUAGGUGAGGCUAACAAAUAAAUAAGGAUGUAAAUAAUGACUUUUAGAUUUAUCAGCAACUAAUUGUUAUUACAUUGGGAUUGGCCAUUAUGUUUUCAUAAAUCACAGCUUCUUCUAUGAUUAUUGAUAACCUAAAAAAGCAUUAAUUAACCAAACAUGUUUGAUACAUAAAAUAAACAAAGCCAAAUGUCUUGAUGAGAUCUAAACAUUAAAGAGAAGUUACCAGUUUAUCCUUACAAGGCAAUAGAGAACAGUUUAGCAGCUAAUGUGUGAAGUCCUUUUUUUAAAUAGACAUGUUAAUGUGUGGUGUACUUGUUAGGGCCUUGAGUUUCAAAAGAAAAUAUUUCCAUCACAAACAAGCUGUUUUACUUUUGCAAGAAACUACUUUAUGUUAAUGAGUGACUAAGUAGGUACUUUUGUUAUGUCGCAUUAGUAUUUAAUAUAACACAUUUCUAUUUUACUUAUUUACAGUGUUUAUAUGCAAUGAAAUAAAAGACUAAAUAUGCAAUAAAAAAAAAGACUUUAGAGACGCCUGUUUCUUUAAGGACUGGCGUUCCGGUUCAGUCUCUCUACUUCCUUUAAGUUUUUUUGCUGAAAGCAGAACGAAGGCUGGGCAAGAAAAUUGGCACCAACAUCACUUCUAUAUAUUAAGUUUAGUCUUCAGAGUAAAAUCAGUUUACUGAGUGGAGACAGUUAAGUUGAGCUUCUCUUCAGCUGUUUUAUAUAUCCAGGAUGUCCUUAGAUAUUAAGUCCACAACAGAUUUCUUUCAAAGAGUGAGAUACAGCAUAACAAAGCAGGGAGACACAGCAGAGUGGGAGAAGAAGAAGGUUUAUAUCUACAACUACAUAAAUGACAUGAUGGAUGAUUCUCAGGUAGAAGGACGUAAGUAAAGUAGAUGAGAUAAAGACGACAUAUAUUUAUUUUAAAUAUUAUGAAUUUAUGUGUUGAAUUAAAGUAAAUUGUUCUCUCUUAACUUAAUCUGCAGCCAACAAAGCGUCUGUUAGAUGUGCAACACUGAGCAGAAGACUACUGUACAUACUGAUAUUAGCUGGGAUCAUCAGCCUGACCGUAUACUUCACUUUGGAAAUACAGAAAGUGAACAACAGCUACGACCAUCAACACCAGAAACUUUCAGCCAACAACAAUCAGCUACAGGACAGCUAUAACAUACUCAGCAAAAAUCACAGCCAGUUAACAGAAGAAGUAAACAGACU
Long non-coding RNA from Girardinichthys multiradiatus, 1472 nucleotides. RefSeq lists it as uncharacterized. The transcript has 3 exons. The record is from RefSeq and is a predicted model, not a curated record. NCBI's taxonomy places the organism in Eukaryota, Metazoa, Chordata, Actinopteri, Cyprinodontiformes, Goodeidae.